GAUGAAGAACGCAGCGAAGUGCGAUAAGUAAUGUGAAUUGCAGAAUUCCGUGAAUCAUCGAAUCUUUGAACGCAAAUUGCACUCUCUGGUAUCCCGGGGAGUAUGCCUGUUUGAGGGUCAGUGUUAAUAAAAAUCGGUGCGUUGCACUUUAUUGUGACGUUCUGGAGUUUGAGUUAUCUUAACUUUUAGGUUAAGAGGCUUAAAAUUGACCUUUUUUUUUGUGCAUUUUAGACGUACAUAAAUUUUCUUUUAUUUGUCUUUUAAUGCCAAAAUUAUAUUAGAUGCGACCAUAUCGUGUGGUUUCGUGUCUAUAAAUUUUUCAUGAUUUGACCUCAAAUCAGGUAGGAGUACCCGCUGAACUUAAGCAUAUCAAUAAGCGGAGGA
Molecule: unclassified non-coding RNA, 384 nt
Filed under: soil metagenome
Description: partial contains 5.8S ribosomal RNA, internal transcribed spacer 2, and large subunit ribosomal RNA
Rfam family: 5.8S ribosomal RNA (bases 1-120)
Source: RNAcentral